This 497-nucleotide ribosomal RNA is filed under the name uncultured bacterium. Its description in RNAcentral is "partial 16S ribosomal RNA". It matches the Rfam family "Bacterial small subunit ribosomal RNA", at positions 28 to 507 of the family's 1533-position model. The record is from RNAcentral.
GAUGAACGCUGGCGGCGUGCCUAAUACAUGCAAGUCGAGCGAACGGACGAGAAGCUUGCUUCUCUGAUGUUAGCGGCGGACGGGUGAGUAACACGUGGAUAACCUACCUAUAAGACUGGGAUAACUUCGGGAAACCGGAGCUAAUACCGGAGGAUAUUUUGAACCGCAUGGUUCAAAAGUGAAAGACGGUCUUGCUGUCACUUAUAGAUGGAUCCGCGCUGCAUUAGCUAGUUGGUAAGGUAACGGCUUACCAAGGCAACGAUGCAUAGCCGACCUGAGAGGGUGAUCGGCCACACUAGAACUGAGACACGGUCCAGACUCCUACGGGAGGCAGCAGUAGGGAAUCUUACGCAGUGGGCGGAAGCAUGACGGAGCAACGCCGCGUGAGUGAUGACGGUGUUCGGAUCGUAAAACUCUGUUAUUAGGGAAGAACAUAUGUGUAAGUAACUGUGCACAUCUUGACGGUACCUAAUCAGAAAGCCACGGCUAACUACGUG